Molecule: long non-coding RNA, 515 nt
Organism: Molossus molossus (Pallas's mastiff bat)
Lineage: Eukaryota; Metazoa; Chordata; Mammalia; Chiroptera; Molossidae
Exons: 4
Source: RefSeq, a predicted model, not a curated record
GCCAGAUGUCGCUGUGGCUCUCUGCGUGUGGGCGGCGGCCACGCUCACGGCCUCCGAAGUUUGGGGGAUUUUUGCCAAUUAGAUAAGUAGAAAUUGUUUUCCGGAUUAUGCCACUCUCACUUCCUGGAAUGUCCUGUGUGCUGUAUCUUCAAGGAGACCAUUUGGCCACACUCCCAAAUCCCUGGCCUUUGACCAGACACCUACUGCCUCCACAGACUCCCAAGAGAGCUAUGCAGGGGAACAGUCCUGACCAUCACUAUUCUGGGGAUAUCGCUACUAAGCGUGCCAUAGACUUGCACAAAAUCAUAUGUGUGAAGAAGGAAGAUUGAUGGUGGUUCCUACACAAGACACAGCAAGACCUAUCACAGUUGUCACGUGGUUAUGGUGGAUUGCCUCUGCGCAAAUUGUUUUGAAUCAGAAUUAAAGAACCAAGACACCAGUCAUAUUGGAUUACGACCCACCCUAAUGAUCUCAUCUUGACUUGAUCAUCUGCAAAGAUCCUAUUUUCAAAUAAG